UUUGUAGUCAGCGGGCGCGCACUGUAGUUCCAUCUCAUCUGCGCAAACAUGGCUGAUGAAACGGAAAAGGCGCAGACUGCCCAGCCGGGCGGAGACACAAUAUUUGGAAAAAUCAUACGCAAAGAGAUUCCUGUCAAAUUAAUCUAUGAGGACGAUCAGUGUGUUGCCUUCCCUGAUAUUUCUCCUCAAGCUCCCACUCACAUCCUCGUCGUCCCCAAAAAGCCAAUAGUUCAGCUGUCACAAGCAGAGGAUAGUGAUGCUGGAUUGUUGGGCCACUUGAUGAUAGUCGCAAAAAAGUGUGCUCAAGAGGCGGGUCUAUCUAAUGGCUACAGGAUUGUCAUCAAUGAUGGACGAGAUGGAGGCCAGUCUGUCUACCACAUCCACGUCCACGUGCUGGGUGGACGCACUAUGGUGUGGCCCCCUGGCUAACCUCUGUCUCCCGGCACAUACCAUCCUGCCAUCGGUGUGCCAGUACAGUUAAAUUUAGACUGAAACAGGUCGUCAAGUCAAAGAAAACCUGGGAAAUCACAAAUGGUCCGUCUCCUCAGGGCUCGGGGUUCCAGGCUGUCAGGAGCAUGGGGGCGGAGCUCCACUGGCUUACCAUUGAUCUCUGGUGCCUUAUUGGUUGAUAUCACAGGCGGGAUCUUCUUGAAGUUAAGGCUCUCAUCAAACACCCGAUCCACCAACUGGGCACAAAACAGGAGAACUGUAGUCUACAGAACUUUCUAUCCAGAGUCAUUGUUGCAUUCUAUAAUAGAGUUAAGUAAGCAUUAGUGAGAAAUAAGGGAAUUAGCAACUCUGUCAGCUCUAAAAAAGUCAGAUUUUAAUAAUAAAACAAGAAUGAAGAGCAGAAGGGGGUGAAAUAAAUGAAUACCUCUCACAGCAGAUGAAAGCAUAGAGAGGCAGUUUUAUCGAAGCAACACAGGAGGGAUGGCAAAGUGGCAGUGGAAGCACACACAGUAAGGCAAUGACAGAAGAAGAAAAACGGGCACCUUGCUCAUGCUCUCCUGUAUGUCCGGCUGCGUUGAACGUGCAGGGCCUACCUCUUCCCGGGUGUCGAUAGCUGAUCCCGGGGUGGUGGCGGCAGUGCUGACGGUGGUGCUGGGUGCUGUGCCGGAUGAGCUGACUGAGUCGAUCUCGCCGGCCACGUCGUGGAUCUCACGGGCCAAGAUGGCCAAAUCCUUAGCCAGGUCCUGGCUGAUCCUGCGCACACAGGGGAAUAACCUGUUAACCAUCAGACAGGGUUCUUUAGGACUCAGGAGAAACAUCUGGUUGAACACAACCUGCAUACACAAGCAAUAUUCAUACACACAACAAGAUAAAAGUGAAACCAUUAAGGAUGGCUCCUCAAAAUGACAACAUCAUACAACACAUUAUGGAGAUCAAUGAGAGAUGAAGUUGUACAGAUCAAUACCUGGCUAUCUCCUCGCUGUGUGCUGUCCAGUCCCUGAUGUACUCCUCUUGCUCUUUCAUGCGAUGUUUGAUCCCCACUCCACCUGGACCUGUGGCCGCGGCAGAGCCUGGACUCGGGGUUGUGCUGAGCCUUGAGCUGCGGUGUGGGACGAGGUGAUGAGGCCGCACAUGGGAGCGUCCUCCGUGCUUCGGCGAGUUCCGGUUGGAGCCAAAUUCUUCUUCUGAGGUGGAGCCAUACUCUUGUGGCAGACGUCUCCACCUGCUGCUGCUGGACACUGUGAUGGUAGGUGGCUGUCUCUGCUCCCGAUCCCUCUGGGUCAGUCCUGGUGUGAUUGGCAGCAAGACUGGCCCACUGAGAGACCCAGCUCGAAUCACCAGCAAGAGCCUGUGGGGGCAACAGUGAUGGAAACAGGAGUGAGAAAAAGAGUGAUAAAGAAUAACAGAAAUUGCCUCGGGGGGUGGUGUCUCUCCUCAUCUUCACAUGAUCUAGGUCUGACAGAACAGAGGAGUCUUGGUUCUGCUGAACACCGAACACCUUCAAAUAGAGACAAACAUCUGACCAAGUGGCUAACGUAUAAUGAAUGCUAAUCUAAAGGCAUCAUCUAUGCAUGUACUACGCACCCCUUACACUAUUACUCUGGAUGAACAAAAGUGAGCUGAACAGCUAGAAGAAGAUGCAGUCGAAUUCAAGCACGAAUCUGCCCUCGAUAG
RNA transcript from Scophthalmus maximus (turbot), 2124 nucleotides. It is a transcript of the gene named histidine triad nucleotide binding protein 1, with no coding region annotated. The transcript is spliced from 8 exons. The record is from RefSeq and is a predicted model, not a curated record. NCBI's taxonomy places the organism in Eukaryota, Metazoa, Chordata, Actinopteri, Pleuronectiformes, Scophthalmidae.